ACCUUACCAGGUCUUGACAUACCUUCAAAGACCCCGGAGACGGGGGGAUAGCUAUGGAGGAUACAGGUGGUGCAUGGUUGUCGUCAGCUCGUGUCGUGAGAUGUUGGGUUAAGUCCCGCAACGAGCGCAACCCUUGUCGUCAGUUGCCAGCAUUCAGUUGGGGACUCUGGCGAGACUGCCUCUGCAAGGAGGAGGAAGGCGGGGAUGACGUCAAAUCAUCAUGCCCCUUAUGACCUGGGCCACACACGUGCUACAAUGGACGGAUCAGAGGGCAGCGAAGGGGCGACCCGGAGCGAAACCCAGAAACCCGUUCUCAGUUCGGACUGCAGCCUGCAACUCGGCUGCACGAAGCUGGAAUCGCUAGUAAUCGCGGAUCAGCAUGCCGCGGUGAAUACGUUCUCGGGCCUUGUACACACCGCCCGUCACACCAUGAGAGUUGGCAACACCCGAAGCCGGUGGCCUAACCCCAUUAGGGGAAGGAGCUGUCUAAGGUGGGGCCGAUGAUUGGGGUG
RNAcentral lists this ribosomal RNA (512 nucleotides) under uncultured bacterium. Its description in RNAcentral is "bacterial SSU rRNA". It matches the Rfam family "Bacterial small subunit ribosomal RNA", at positions 968 to 1482 of the family's 1533-position model. The record is from RNAcentral.